RNAcentral lists this ribosomal RNA (499 nucleotides) under uncultured bacterium. Its description in RNAcentral is "bacterial SSU rRNA". It matches the Rfam family "Bacterial small subunit ribosomal RNA", at positions 15 to 507 of the family's 1533-position model. The record is from RNAcentral.
GAUCAUGGCUCAGAUUGAACGCUGCGGGCAUGCCUUACACAUGCAAGUCGAACGGCAGCACGGGAGCUUGCUCCUGGUGGCGAGUGGCGAACGGGUGAGUAAUACAUCGGAACGUACCCUGAAGUGGGGGAUAACGUAGCGAAAGUUACGCUAAUACCGCAUAUUCUGUGAGCAGGAAAGAGGGGGAUCGCAAGACCUCUUGCUUUAGGAGCGGCCGAUGUCGGAUUAGCUAGUUGGUGAGGUAAAGGCUCACCAAGGCGACGAUCCGUAGCGGGUCUGAGAGGAUGAUCCGCCACACUGGGACUGAGACACGGCCCAGACUCCUACGGGAGGCAGCAGUGGGGAAUUUUGGACAAUGGGCGCAAGCCUGAUCCAGCCAUGCCGCGUGAGUGAAGAAGGCCUUCGGGUUGUAAAGCUCUUUCGGUGGGGAAGAAAUUGCUUCGGUUAAUACCUGGAGUAGAUGACGGUACCCGCAUAAGAAGCACCGGCUAACUACGUG